RNAcentral lists this ribosomal RNA (459 nucleotides) under uncultured bacterium. RNAcentral describes it as "partial 16S ribosomal RNA". It matches the Rfam family "Bacterial small subunit ribosomal RNA", at positions 338 to 795 of the family's 1533-position model. The record is from RNAcentral.
CCUACGGGUGGCAGCAGUGAGGAAUAUUGGUCAAUGGGCGGAAGCCUGAACCAGCCAAGUAGCGUGCGGGAUGAAGGCCCUAUGGGUCGUAAACCGCUUUUGCACGGGGAUAACACCCUCCACUUGUGCACGUCUGCAGGUUCCCCGCGAAUAAGGGCUGGCUAAUUCCGUGCCAGCAGCCGCGGUAAUACGGAAGGCCCGGGCGUUUUCCGGAUUUAUUGGGCUUAAAGGGAGCGUAGGCGGGCGUUUAAGUCAGCUGUAAAAUGGCGCGGCUCAACCGCGCCCCGCAGUUGAAACUGGGCGCCUUGAGUGCACAACAGGCAGGCGGAAUGCGUGGUGUAGCGGUGAAAUGCAUAGAUAUCACGAGGAACCCCGAUUGCGAAGGCAGCCUGCCGGGGUGCGACUGACGCUGAGGCUCGAAGGUGCGGGUAUCAAACAGGAUUAGAUACCCCGGUAGUC